ACUCCUACGGGAGGCAGCAGUGGGGAAUAUUGGACAAUGGGCGCAAGCCUGAUCCAGCCAUGCCGCGUGAGUGAUGAAGGCCCUAGGGUUGUAAAGCUCUUUCACCGGUGAAGAUAAUGACGGUAACCGGAGAAGAAGCCCCGGCUAACUUCGUGCCAGCAGCCGCGGUAAUACGAAGGGGGCUAGCGUUGUUCGGAUUUACUGGGCGUAAAGCGCACGUAGGCGGACUAUUAAGUCAGGGGUGAAAUCCCGGGGCUCAACCCCGGAACUGCCUUUGAUACUGGUAGUCUUGAGUUCGAGAGAGGUGAGUGGAAUUCCGAGUGUAGAGGUGAAAUUCGUAGAUAUUCGGAGGAACACCAGUGGCGAAGGCGGCUCACUGGCUCGAUACUGACGCUGAGGUGCGAAAGCGUGGGGAGCAAACAGGAUUAGAUACCCCAGUAGUCCCAUG
This 448-nucleotide ribosomal RNA is filed under the name uncultured organism. Its description in RNAcentral is "partial 16S ribosomal RNA". It matches the Rfam family "Bacterial small subunit ribosomal RNA", at positions 335 to 799 of the family's 1533-position model. The record is from RNAcentral.